UAAACUCAAAUUGCAUUGCUUCUUUGGUAACACCGUCCAGAAAAAUCCAAAGUGAAGACAAACCACAGAGACCGUAGAGAAUGGAGUUACCAGAAGGAUGCAUCGCCGCCAUACUCUGCCGCACUACUCCAGUGGACGCCGCAAGACUCGCCGUCGUUUCUAAGACCUUCUACUCCGCCGCCGAUUCCGACGCUGUAUGGAAUCACUUUCUCCCUUCCGAUUACCAUUCCAUCGUUUCCCAAUCUCCUUCUCUUGCCAACGCUCCUUCCAACAAAGCGCUCUACCUCGCUCUCUCCGAUCGCCCUGUCAUCAUCGACCACGGUAAAAAGAGCUUUCAAUUGGAUAGGAAGAGUGGGAAGAAGUGUUACAUGCUUGGUGCCAGAGCUCUCUCCAUUAUUUGGGGUGACGAUGAACGUUACUGGCAGUGGAUCAACCUCCCAGAAUCCAGGUUUCCUGAAGUUGCUGAGCUCCGGGAUGUGUGCUGGCUUGAAAUUCGUGGGAUGAUGAACACCAUUGCCCUGUCCCCAAACACUGAGUAUGUGGCUUUUCUUGUGUUCAAUAUGAUUGAUUCCCACGGAUUUCAUAGCCGUCCAGUGGAGUUAUCAGUCAGUAUCAUAGGUGGCCAUAGCAGUAACAAAUAUGUCUGUUUGGAUCCAAACUUGAAUGAAAGGCCGCACAUUAGAAUACAGGGAUUGCAACGUCCAAGUGUGAGAAGCGAUGGGUAGUUGGAGAUUGAGAUGGGGGAGUUCUUCAAUUCAGGCCUAGAAGAUGAAGAACUGCAGUUGAGCAUUCUCGAGGUAAAUAGCCGUAACUGGAAGAGUGGUCUCCAUCUUGAAGGAAUAGAAGUUAGGCCUAGGGAAGUCAAUAGCGUGCACACUUUGCUAAAGCCUCUCCAAAGGCAUAAUUCAGUUGGGAGAGAAGAAGUGAGAAAAAGAAUGGAGCAUUUGCCAGAAGGAUGCAUCGCCGCCAUACUCUGCCGCACCACUCCGGCGGACGCCGCCAGACUCGCCGCCGUUUCCAAGAUCUUCCGCUCCGCCGCCGACUCCAACGCCGUCUGGGAUCGUUUUCUCCCUUCCGAUUACCAUUCCAUCGUUUCCCAGUCUCCUUCUCUUGCCAACGCUUCUUCUAAGAAAGCGCUCUACCUCGCUCUUUCCGAUCACCCUAUCAUCAUCGAUCAGGGUAAAAAGAGCUUUGAAUUGAACAGGAAGAGUGGGAAGAAGUGCUACAUGCUUGGUUCCAGAGCUCUCACCAUUGUUUGGGGUGACACUGAGGAGUAUUGGAGUUGGGAAACCCUCCCAGAGUCAAGGUUUCCUGAAGUUGCUGUGCUUCAGGUUGUGUGGUGGCUUGAAAUUCGUGGGAAGAUAAACACCUUUUCCUUGUCUCCAAGCACUCUUUAUGGAGCUUUUCUUGUUUUCAAGACUGAGCAUGCCUAUGGAUUUAAUAAUUGUCCUGUGGAGUUAUCAGUCAGCAUCAUAGGUGGCCAUAGCAGUACCAAAAAUGUCUGUUUGGAUUCAAGGAUGGGUAGGCGGGGGGCGCACUUCAGAGUAGAGGGAUUGCAACGUCCAGCUGUGAGAAGUGAUGGGUGGUUGGAGAUUGAGAUGGGAGAGUUCUCCAAUUCAAGCCUAGAAGAUGAAGAACUGCAGAUGAGUGUUAUCGAGAUACAAGGUUAUAGUUCGAAGAGCGGUCUCAUUCUUGAAGGAAUAGAAGUUAGGCCUAAGGAAGGCAAUUAAGAAACCAAAUUUAUUUCAUUGAACUAUGCAUGGGUUUGCAUCUUAGAUGGCUUAUACUGCUUGCAGAUUUGAAGCUUCAAGUUGUGAACAUACACUGUGAUGUGUUCUUGUGCCAAACUGAUAAAGUUUAUGCAUAAGCUAUAUUGCUCAUCAUAACUCUUAUGACAUGAUGAUGAUGAUGAUGUUUUUGUAUCCCGGGAUAAUUUUUUGUUUUGGAUAUUAACCUCGGGUGAAUGAACUUUGAAUUAAUCUAGAA
RNA transcript from Lotus japonicus, 1986 nucleotides. It is a transcript of the gene named F-box protein PP2-B1-like, with no coding region annotated. The record is from RefSeq and is a predicted model, not a curated record. The transcript has 6 exons. NCBI's taxonomy places the organism in Eukaryota, Viridiplantae, Streptophyta, Magnoliopsida, Fabales, Fabaceae.